AGUCAAAUAUUAGUAAGUAUUGUGUUUUGAAAGCACUUAAAAGUGGUUAAAUUCCCCUAUUGACUU
Molecule: transfer RNA, 66 nt
Filed under: Blaberus peruvianus
Lineage: Eukaryota; Metazoa; Arthropoda; Insecta; Blattodea; Blaberidae
Description: tRNA-Ser
Source: RNAcentral